UUACUACUUGAUAUACACAUGCAAGCAUCCACCCCCCUGUGAAAACGCCCUUAACCCCUAUUAGUGGAGAGGAGCCGGUAUCAGGCACGAAAAUCUGCCCAAAACACCUAGCUUUGCCACACCCCCACGGGAAUUCAGCAGUGAUUAACAUUGAGUAUUAGCGUAAGCUUGACUCAGUUAAAGUAUAAUGCAGCCGGCUAAUCUGGUGCCAGCCGCCGCGGUUACACCACGUGGCUCAAAUUGAUCUCCAUCCGGCGUAAAGCGUGAUUAAAGAAAUUCACUACUAGAGUUAAACUAAAACUGAGCUGUGACACGCCUGUUCAUUAAGAAAUGCAAGAACGAAAGUUACUCUAUCAUAACCAACUUGAACUCACGACAGCUGGGAGACAAACUGGGAUUAGAUACCCCACUAUGCCUAGCCACAAACUUUUAUUUACACCAAUUAAACGCCAGGGAACUACGAGCUAAGCUUAAAACCCAAGGGACUUGACGGUACCCAACAUCCACCUAGAGGAGCCUGUCCUAUAAUCGAUAACCCACGCUAAACCUUACCAUUUCUAGUAAAUCAGCCUGUAUACCUCCGUCGUCAGCUUACCACGUGAGCGUUAAUAAGUAAGCCAAAUGUUACUUCACCAACACGUCAGGUCAAGGUGCAGCAAAUGAAAUGGAAAGAGAUGGGCUACACUUUCUAUUUUAGAAAAAACGAAAAACUACCUAUGAAAUCUAGUUAGAAGGCGGAUUUAGCAGUAAAGAGGAAUCAGCAUGUCCACUUUAACCGGGCACUAGGGUGUGUACACACCGCCCGUCACCCUCCUCAAAAGCUAUAAAUAAAGUUAUUAACAAAUGAAAGCAUAAUAGAAGAGGAAAGUCGUAACAUGGUAAGUAUACCGGAAGGUGUGCUUGGAAA
Molecule: non-coding RNA, 907 nt
Filed under: Ansonia spinulifer (Kina Balu stream toad)
Lineage: Eukaryota; Metazoa; Chordata; Amphibia; Anura; Bufonidae
Description: partial 12S ribosomal RNA
Rfam family: Bacterial small subunit ribosomal RNA
Source: RNAcentral